RNAcentral lists this ribosomal RNA (468 nucleotides) under uncultured bacterium. Its description in RNAcentral is "partial 16S ribosomal RNA". It matches the Rfam family "Bacterial small subunit ribosomal RNA", at positions 28 to 507 of the family's 1533-position model. The record is from RNAcentral.
GACGAACGCUGGCGGCGUGCUUAACACAUGCAAGUCGAACGGAAAGGCCCUGCUUUUGUGGGGUGCUCGAGUGGCGAACGGGUGAGUAACACGUGAGUAACCUGCCCUUGACUUUGGGAUAACUUCAGGAAACUGGGGCUAAUACCGGAUAGGAGCUCCUGCUGCAUGGUGGGGGUUGGAAAGUUUCGGUGGUUGGGGAUGGACUCGCGGCUUAGCAGCUUGUUGGUGGGGUAGUGGCUUACCAAGGCUUUGACGGGUAGCCGGCCUGAGAGGGUGACCGGCCACAUUGGGACUGAGAUACGGCGCAGACUGCUACGGGAGGCAGCGGUGGGGAGUAUUACACCAUGGGCGGAGGCCUGAUGCAGCAAAGCCGCGUGCGGGAUGACGGCCUUCGGGUUGUAAACCGCUUUGGCCUGUGACGAAGCGUGAGUGACGGUAAUGGGUAAAGAAGCACCGGCUAACUACGUG